Molecule: ribosomal RNA, 253 nt
Filed under: uncultured bacterium
Lineage: Bacteria
Description: partial 16S ribosomal RNA
Rfam family: Bacterial small subunit ribosomal RNA
Source: RNAcentral
UACAGAGGGGGCAAGCGUUGUUCGGAAUUACUGGGCGUAAAGGGCGCGUAGGCGGCCUGCUAAGUCGAACGUGAAAUCCCCGAGCUCAACUCGGGAACUGCGUCCGAUACUGGAUGGCUUGAAUCCGGGAGAGGGAUGCAGAAUUCCAGGUGUAGCGGUGAAAUGCGUAGAUAUCUGGAGGAAUACCGGUGGCGAAGGCGGCAUCCUGGACCGGCAUUGACGCUGAUGAGCGAAAGCUAGGGGAGCAAACGGG